RNAcentral lists this ribosomal RNA (383 nucleotides) under uncultured bacterium. Its description in RNAcentral is "bacterial SSU rRNA". It matches the Rfam family "Bacterial small subunit ribosomal RNA", at positions 30 to 416 of the family's 1533-position model. The record is from RNAcentral.
AUUGAACGCUGGCGGCAUGCCUUACACAUGCAAGUCGAACGGCAGCGCGGGGCAACCUGGCGGCGAGUGGCGAACGGGUGAGUAAUAUAUCGGAACAUGCCCAGAAGUGGGGGAUAACGUAGCGAAAGUUACGCUAAUACCGCAUACGAUCUACGGAUGAAAGUGGGGGACCGCAAGGCCUCAUGCUUUUGGAGUGGCCGAUAUCUGAUUAGCUAGUUGGUGGGGUAAAGGCCUACCAAGGCGACGAUCAGUAGCUGGUCUGAGAGGACGACCAGCCACACUGGAACUGAGACACGGUCCAGACUCCUACGGAGGCAGCAGUGGGGAAUUUUGGACAAUGGGGGCAACCCUGAUCCAGCAAUGCCGCGUGUGUGAAGAAGGCC